UAAAACUAUGUGCCGAAGCUGCGGAUGUAUACUUUGUAUACGUGGUAGGGGAGCGUUCUGUAAGCCGAUGAAGGUGUAUUGAGAAGUAUGCUGGAGGUAUCAGAAGUGCGAAUGCUGACGUGAGUAACGACAAAACGGGUGAAAAACCCGUUCGCCGAAAGACCAAGGGUUCCAGUCCAACGUUAAUCGGGGCUGGGUGAGUCGACCCCUAAGGCGAGGCCGAAAGGCGUAGUCGAUGGGAAAAUGGUUAAUAUUCCAUUACUUCUGUGUAAUGCGAUGAGAGGACGGAGAAGGCUAAAUCAGCCUGGCGUUGGUUGUCCAGGUGAAAGGAUGUAGGCAUGUAUCUUAGGCAAAUCCGGGGUACUCUAUGCUGAGAUCUGAUAGCAAGCUGUACUUGUACAGCGAAGUGGUUGAUGCCAUGCUUCCAGGAAAAGUCUCUAAGCUUCAGUUACACAGGAAUCGUACCCGAAACCGACACAGGUGGUCAGGUCGAGUAGACCAAGGCGCUUGAGAGAACUCUGCUGAAGGAACUAGGCAAAAUGGUACCGUAACUUCGGGAGAAGGUACGCUGUUGUUGGUGAUGGAACUCGCUUCCUGAGCUGACGACAGCCGCAGAAACCAGGCCGCUGCAACUGUUUAUUAAAAACAUAGCACUCUGCAAACACGAAAGUGGACGUAUAGGGUGUGAUGCCUGCCCGGUGCUGGAAGGUUAAUUGAUGGGGUUAGCGUAAGCGAAGCUCUUGAUCGAAGCCCCAGUAAACGGCGGCCGUAACUAUAACGGUCCUAAGGUAGCGAAAUUCCUUGUCGGGUAAGUUCCGACCUGCACGAAUGG
RNAcentral lists this ribosomal RNA (832 nucleotides) under Acinetobacter baumannii. RNAcentral describes it as "partial 23S ribosomal RNA". It matches the Rfam family "Bacterial large subunit ribosomal RNA", at positions 1182 to 1999 of the family's 2925-position model. The record is from RNAcentral. Lineage: Bacteria; Pseudomonadati; Pseudomonadota; Gammaproteobacteria; Moraxellales; Moraxellaceae.